RNAcentral lists this ribosomal RNA (253 nucleotides) under uncultured bacterium. Its description in RNAcentral is "partial 16S ribosomal RNA". It matches the Rfam family "Bacterial small subunit ribosomal RNA", at positions 524 to 776 of the family's 1533-position model. The record is from RNAcentral.
UACAGAGGGGGCAAGCGUUAUUCGGAAUUAUUGGGCGUAAAGGGCGCGUAGGCGGUUUGGCAAGUGGGUGGUGAAAUCCCUCGGCUUAACCGAGGAACUGCCGUCCAAACUGCUUAGCUUGAGACCGGGAGAGGUGAGUGGAAUUCCCAGUGUAGCGGUGAAAUGCGUAGAUAUUGGGAGGAACACCAGUGGCGAAGGCGGCUCACUGGACCGGUACUGACGCUGAGGCGCGAAAGCGUGGGGAGCAAACGGG